AGGAAGAUCUGAUCGAUUGGUGGCUGGUUGAAUUUUAAGGGCUACAACUCUUGAAGCAAGGUGAAGAAGGAGCGUUGUCCUUGGUUCAAUUUCUAUGUGGAUCACCAUUAAGAGGGCAGAUACUUGAACAUUUUGUGAAAAUUAAGAUUAGUGCUAUAGAUAUUCUUCUUAUCCUAAUUUAUAUUUAUUGCACUUUGAUUUAUAUAAUCAAGAAUUUCUGGGCAUUAGGGUUUUCGGUGCAUCGAGUAUUUUUAAUGA
RNAcentral lists this long non-coding RNA (258 nucleotides) under Elaeis guineensis (African oil palm). Its description in RNAcentral is "long non-coding RNA (EGUI_LNC060572)". Lineage: Eukaryota; Viridiplantae; Streptophyta; Magnoliopsida; Arecales; Arecaceae. The record is from RNAcentral.